Molecule: ribosomal RNA, 470 nt
Filed under: uncultured bacterium
Lineage: Bacteria
Description: SSU rRNA
Rfam family: Bacterial small subunit ribosomal RNA
Source: RNAcentral
AGCCUGAACGCUGGCGGCGUGGCUAAGACAUGCAAGUCGUACGGGUGUAGCAAUACACCAGUGGCGGACGGGUGAGUAAUGUAUCGCUAACGUACCCCAGGUUCUGGGAUAGCUGCCCGAAAGGGCAGGUAAUACCAGAUGAUAUAUCCUUGUCGCAUGGCGAGGAUCUCAAAGGGAAACCGUCCUGGGAGCGGGCGAUAUCGUAUCAGCUAGUUGGUGAGGUAACGGCUCACCAAGGCGACGACGCGUAGCCGGACUGAGAGGUUGGCCGGCCACAUUGGGACUGAGACACUGCCCAGACUCCUACGGGGGGCUGCAGUAACGAAUCUUCCGCAAUGCACGAAAGUGUGACGGAGCGACGCCGCGUGUGGGACGAAGUCCUUCGGGAUGUAAACCACUGUCAGGGGUUAGAAAGUUCUGAUCAACCCCAGAGGAAGGCACGGCUAACUCUGUGCCAGCAGCCGCGGUAA